ACUAGAAUCUCAGAUCAACAUGAAAGCCUUCCAGGAAUCAGACUUUACCAUUAGCAUGAUCUAAGCAUUCUUCACGCCACUAAAAACCAAGCAUCUCCUUCAGCCCUCAAGCUCAGAUCUUCAAAAAUGGGCCCCAAAAAUGGAUAGAAGUGAGUGACAGAAAGUGCUUUCCAAGCAAGUCCUUUCUAAUCAAGCACCAGCUGACUACACUAUGUCCAGAGUACUCCUGAUAAUGAGGAACUGGGGGAAAGGUGUUCUCAUCAUUAUGCUAUAUGGAAGAAUGAAAAUGUGCCAGAUAUUUAAAGAUAUGUUUCUGUAUCUAAAAUCUCUCUCUGCCUAUUGUACGUACCUGAAUAUUUGUAGUUACAUUACAAACAGUACUUGAACCAUUAAAAGAAACCAUGGAAACUCACAGUUACCACAGAAACAUGGGAAGAUGUGGAAAAGGAAUGUAAGGUUAAAAAUUCAGGUUCCUAACACUGGAUUCUGCACUCACCAAUGCCGAAAUGAAGAAAGGGUUUUACUGAUUAAAUGAACAGAAAUGCAGAAAUGGCCUUGAUGAAAGUAUACACUAUACAGGACCCAUUAAGAGAAGAAAAAUGACAAUUCAUUCU
Molecule: long non-coding RNA, 614 nt
Organism: Pantherophis guttatus
Lineage: Eukaryota; Metazoa; Chordata; Lepidosauria; Squamata; Colubridae
Source: RefSeq, a predicted model, not a curated record